Paramuricea clavata is the source of this 78-nucleotide non-coding RNA. NCBI's taxonomy places the organism in Eukaryota, Metazoa, Cnidaria, Anthozoa, Malacalcyonacea, Plexauridae. The record is from the annotation of a GenBank genome assembly.
AAUCCUAUAGGAUCCUAUAGGAAUUCCUAUAGGAAAUGCCAUUUCCUAUAGGAAUUCCUAUAGGAUCCUAUAGGAAUA